This 468-nucleotide ribosomal RNA is filed under the name uncultured bacterium. RNAcentral's name for it is "partial 16S ribosomal RNA". It matches the Rfam family "Bacterial small subunit ribosomal RNA", at positions 28 to 507 of the family's 1533-position model. The record is from RNAcentral.
GACGAACGCUGGCGGCGUGCUUAACACAUGCAAGUCGAACGGAAAGGCCCUGCUUUUGUGGGGUGCUCGAGUGGCGAACGGGUGAGUAACACGUGAGUAACCUGCCCUUGACUUUGGGAUAACUUCAGGAAACUGGGGCUAAUACCGGAUAGGAGCUCCUGCUGCAUGGUGGGGGUUGGAAAGUUUCGGCGGUUGGGGAUGGACUCGCGGCUUAUCAGCUUGUUGGUUGGGUAGUGGCUUACCAAGGCUUUGACGGGUAGCCGGCCUGAGAGGGUGACCGGCCACAUUGGGACUGAGAUACGGCCCAGACUCCUACGGGAGGCAGCAGUGGGGAAUAUGGCACAAUGGGCGGAAGCCUGAUGCAGCAACGCCGCGUGCGGGAUGACGGCCUUCGGGUUGUAAACCGCUUUCGCCUGUGACGAAGCGUGAGUGACGGUAAUGGGUAAAGAAGCACCGGCUAACUACGUG